This 76-nucleotide transfer RNA is filed under the name uncultured Thermomicrobiales bacterium. RNAcentral describes it as "tRNA-Arg-TCT". It matches the Rfam family "tRNA". Rfam says of the family: Transfer RNA (tRNA) molecules are approximately 80 nucleotides in length. Their secondary structure includes four short double-helical elements and three loops (D, anti-codon, and T loops). Lineage: Bacteria; Pseudomonadati; Thermomicrobiota; Thermomicrobia; Thermomicrobiales. The record is from RNAcentral.
GCCCCAGUAGCUCAGCGGAUAGAGCACCCGCCUUCUAAGCGGUAGGUCGCAGGUUCGAUUCCUGCCUGGGGUACCC